RNAcentral lists this transfer RNA (90 nucleotides) under bacterium. Its description in RNAcentral is "tRNA-Ser". It matches the Rfam family "tRNA". From Rfam's summary of the family: Transfer RNA (tRNA) molecules are approximately 80 nucleotides in length. Their secondary structure includes four short double-helical elements and three loops (D, anti-codon, and T loops). The record is from RNAcentral.
GGAGAGGUGCCGGAGUGGUUGAACGGGGCGGUCUCGAAAACCGUUGAGCAUUUCGAUGUUCCCAGGGUUCGAAUCCCUGCCUCUCCGCCA